CUUUCUUUGCUGGCGACCGGCGCACGGGUGAGUAACACGUAUCCAACCUGCCUUUACUCGGGGAUAGCCUUUCGAAGGAAAGAUUAAUACCCGAUAGCAUAAUGAUUCCGCAUGGUUUCAUUAUUAAAGGAUUCCGGUAAAGGAUGGGGAUGCGUUCCAUUAGGUUGUUGGUGAGGUAACGGCUCACCAAGCCUUCGAUGGAUAGGGGUUCUGAGAGGAAGGUCCCCCACAUUGGAACUGAGACACGGUCCAA
RNAcentral lists this ribosomal RNA (253 nucleotides) under uncultured bacterium. RNAcentral describes it as "partial 16S ribosomal RNA". It matches the Rfam family "Bacterial small subunit ribosomal RNA", at positions 79 to 334 of the family's 1533-position model. The record is from RNAcentral.